GUGGCAAGCGUUGUCCGGAAUUACUGGGUGUAAAGCGCGUGUAGGCGGGAUGCCAAGUCUGUGGUGAAAUCGCCUGGCUUAACUGGGCGGGGUCCAUGGAAACUGGUCACCUGGAGGUCGGUAGAGGCAAGUGGAAUUCCCGGUGUAGUGGUGAAAUGCGUAGAGAUCGGGAGGAACACCAGUGGCGAAGGCGGCUUGCUGGGCCGGACCUGACGCUGAGACGCGAAGGCGUGGGGAGCGAGCGGG
RNAcentral lists this ribosomal RNA (246 nucleotides) under uncultured bacterium. RNAcentral describes it as "partial 16S ribosomal RNA". It matches the Rfam family "Bacterial small subunit ribosomal RNA", at positions 531 to 776 of the family's 1533-position model. The record is from RNAcentral.